CCGCUUGGCAUUUGGUUUUAAGCCUCGCGGUGGACUAGCAGAGCCUGUCAUGUCGUUUGUUUCCCGAUUAUUGAAAAGAAGAGGAUAUAAUGGAUUGAUUGAUACAGGGAUCCAGCAGAUACAGAAAAAGGGACAACACUUCGACUGAAUGCGUCAUCCAUAUACCGGUUCUUGUGAAAAGUGUUUUAUUUGGCACCAUUCAGCUACAAAUACCCAAUGUAAUCUUUGCCGGUGGAAUUGUGACCUCAAUCAAGUGAAUCAACUGCUGCAAAUUGUUUCAAACAUUUUACACCUGCAGGUUAGUACUUAUAAAAUUUUGUUUGAAGGAAAAUAAAGGCUAACAAGAUCUGAAAAUACAAGCCAGAUGUAGUACAAAAGUGUUGAUACAAGUCAUUUAAAAAUUUCAUUUCUUUGCAGUUACUGAUGAGUGCAACAGAAGUUUUUAUCAGGAUCUCGUCCGACAUCAUAGGUACAACUGGUCACUGUGAUUUCUUAAAUAACAGGACAUAUUGUGAAGGCGCCUAGGCAGUUACAUAUGUACACGUGGCUCCAAAUGAUGCUUGACUGUUUUCCUUCACUUAA
Saccostrea cuccullata (small rock oyster) is the source of this 582-nucleotide long non-coding RNA. RefSeq lists it as uncharacterized. The record is from RefSeq and is a predicted model, not a curated record. The transcript has 3 exons. Lineage: Eukaryota; Metazoa; Mollusca; Bivalvia; Ostreida; Ostreidae.